Molecule: ribosomal RNA, 407 nt
Filed under: uncultured bacterium
Lineage: Bacteria
Description: partial 16S ribosomal RNA
Rfam family: Bacterial small subunit ribosomal RNA
Source: RNAcentral
GACGAACGCUGGCGGCGUGCCUAAUACAUUCAAGUAGGACGCAGUUGCGAAUGGGAGAGUAACGCGUAGGUAACUAACUAUUAGAGGGGGAUAACUAUUGGAAACGAUAGCCAAUACCGCAUACUAGUAGAUGGACCUGCGUUGUAUUUGCUAGUAGGUAGGGUAAUGCGCUACCGAGGCAACGAUACAUAGCCGACCGUGGAGGGUGAUCGGCCACCCUGGGACUGGGAGACGGCCCAAACUCCUGCGGGAGGCAGGAGUAGGGAAUCUUCGGCAAUGGGGGGAACGCUUACCGAGCCACGGCGCGGGAGUGAAGAAGGUUUUCGGAUCGUAAAGCUCUGUUGUUAAGGAAGCGGUACUUAACCAGAAAGGGACGGCUAACUACGUGCCAGCCGCCGCGGUAAUAC